RNAcentral lists this long non-coding RNA (445 nucleotides) under Ficedula albicollis (Collared flycatcher). Its description in RNAcentral is "lncRNA (ENSFALG00000026277.1)". Lineage: Eukaryota; Metazoa; Chordata; Aves; Passeriformes; Muscicapidae. The record is from RNAcentral.
UCUCAUAGCUAGCUAAUAAUCCCACUGUUCAGGAAAACAGGUUUUUCCUCUGGAAGAACUCAUCUCACACCAUUGUAGUCAAAUGUUUCCAAGUACUACCUUGAUGUUCCACAAAAGGUUAAAAAAAUGGUGAUCCCUAAAAGUGAAGUACUGCUUGAAAUGCCUUGGAUUGUCUUCGUGAAGAGCUUGAUGCUUCCAUAACAACUGUAUAAUAACUUAACAAGAAACAACAACAACAAAAAAGUUCAACAAUUAGGAGGUUGUCGAUUUUUUCAUUUCUCUCUGAUAAUCCAAAGGAAUAGACCUGGGAUGUUUCAAAUCUGGUUUCUUGCAGAGAUGCUUAAUUUUCUGAUGGUGCAGUGCAUUGUUGCUUGCUGAUUAAACCUGCAUAGGACAAUGCUUAAUGUAAAACCAGUCUUGAAGGAAUUUGUGACUGCAGAGAGUU